RNAcentral lists this ribosomal RNA (253 nucleotides) under uncultured bacterium. RNAcentral describes it as "partial 16S ribosomal RNA". It matches the Rfam family "Bacterial small subunit ribosomal RNA", at positions 524 to 776 of the family's 1533-position model. The record is from RNAcentral.
UACGGGGGGGGCAAGCGUUGUUCGGAAUUACUGGGCGUAAAGGGCUCGUAGGUGGCCAACUAAGUCAGACGUGAAAUCCCUCGGCUUAACCGGGGAACUGCGUCUGAUACUGGAUGGCUUGAGAUUGGGAGAGGGAUGCGGAAUUCCAGGUGUAGCGGUGAAAUGCGUAGAUAUCUGGAGGAACACCGGUGGCGAAGGCGGCAUCCUGGACCGAGAUUGACGCUGAGGCGCGAAAGCCAGGGGAGCAAACGGG